Molecule: long non-coding RNA, 807 nt
Filed under: Zostera marina
Lineage: Eukaryota; Viridiplantae; Streptophyta; Magnoliopsida; Alismatales; Zosteraceae
Description: long non-coding RNA (ZMAR_LNC004350)
Source: RNAcentral
CUGACCUCGAUCUCAUACCACGAUAUAUAUUCAAUAUUGCCCUUCACUUAAAUAUUUGAUCACCAUGGGAUCCAUCGUUAGUAGUAAGUGGUUGGUAGCAACAACUAAUUUGAGCAUUCUGUGUUUCUUCGUCCUGCUUCUUUGCCUGCAACAACCUGUUGCGGAGGCAAGGGUUCUGAAGUUAGGAUUGCAUCCAAAUUAUGGUGUUCCAUUCCACAUUCUGCGGAGUUGUUCAGGGGCUUCUUGUGAAACCAACGGAUCCACUCCUCCACCGUCAUGUUGUAACUCGUCCUAAAUAUGCUUUCUUGGGGCCGGUUCCAACGGAUCUGCUCCGUGUGCACGCGCGCCAUAUCCCUGAAAACUAGCUAGCUAGCUAGGUAUAAUAUAUAUCAGAAUGUAGAACAAUCAUGUAUUAAUGGAAUUAGACCGGCCGAGUGUGUAUUUAUGAAAAAUAAAUAAAUGUAAUCGGAUUAUUUGUCAAAAUAAAAAAGGUGGUGAUUUUGUUUUUUCAAUAGCAUCGUGGUGUGUAUUUAUGAAAAAUAAAUGUAAUCGGAUUAUUUGUCAAAAUAAAAAGGUGAUGAUUUUAUUUUUCAAUAGCAUCGUAGUGUGUAUUUAUGAAAAAUAAAUGUAAUUGGAUUAUUUGUUAAAAUAAAAAAAUGGUGAUUUUGUUUUUUCAAUAGUGGUGUGUAUUUAUGAAAAAUAAAUGUAAUCGGAUUAUUUGUCAAAAUAAAAAGGUGGUGAUUUUAUUUUUCAAUAACAUCGUGAUGUGUAUUUAUGAAAAAUAAAUGUAAUUGGAUUUGUCAAAAU